Molecule: ribosomal RNA, 516 nt
Filed under: uncultured bacterium
Lineage: Bacteria
Description: bacterial SSU rRNA
Rfam family: Bacterial small subunit ribosomal RNA
Source: RNAcentral
AGAGUUGAUCAGUGGCUCAGGACGAACGCUGGCGGCGUGCCUAACACAUGCAAGUCGAGCGGAGUCGGUAAGAGGAAGUUUCGGAUGGAAUCUUAUUGAUUAGCGGCGGACGGGUGAGUAACGCGUGAGCGACCAACCUUGCACAGGGGGAUAACGGACCGAAAGGUUCACUAAUACCGCAUGAGACCACGGUGUUGCAUGACACAGAGGUCAAAGGAGCAAUCCGGUGCAAGACGGGCUCGCGUCCGAUUAGGUAGUUGGAGGGGUAACGGCCCACCAAGCCUAUGAUCGGUAGCCGACCUGAGAGGGUGAUCGGCCACAUUGGAACUGAGAUACGGUCCAAACUCCUACGGGAGGCAGCAGUGGGGAAUAUUGGGCAAUGGGGGGAAAAACCCCCUGACCCAGCAACGCCGCGUGAAGGAAGAAGGUUUUCGGAUUGUAAACUUCUGUCCUUGGUGAAGAGAAGAAGACGGUAGCCAAGGAGGAAGCCCCGGCUAACUACGUGCCAGCAGCCGC